Non-coding RNA from Triticum aestivum (bread wheat), 135 nucleotides. NCBI's taxonomy places the organism in Eukaryota, Viridiplantae, Streptophyta, Magnoliopsida, Poales, Poaceae. The record is from Rfam.
GAUCUACUCCCUCCGUCCCAAAAUUCUUGUCUUAAAUUUAUCUAGAUACGGAUGUAUCUAACACUAAAAUGUAACUAGAUACAUCUGUUUUUAGACAAAUUUAAGACAAGAAUUUUGGGACGGAGGGAGUACUCA